AACGAAACUUCUURAUCACCGAGUGCUUGCACUCACCGAUAAAGAGUUGAGUGGCGAACGGGUGAGUAACACGUGGGCAACCUGCCCAAAAGAGGGGGAUAACACUUGGAAACAGGUGCUAAUACCGCAUAACCAUAGUUACCGCAUGGUAACUAUGUAAAAGGUGGCUAUGCUACCGCUUUUGGAUGGGCCCGCGGCGCAUUAGCUAGUUGGUGGGGUAAAGGCUUACCAAGGCAAUGAUGCGUACCGAACUGAGAGGUUGAUCGGCCACAUUGGGACUGAGACACGGCCCAAACUCCAACGGGAGGCAGCAGUAGGGAAUCUUCCACAAUGGGCGAAAGCUGAUGGAGCAACGCCGCGUGGGUGAAGAAGGUCUUCGGAUCGUAAAACCCUGUUGUUAGAGAAGAAAGUGCGUGAGAGUAACUGUUCACGUUUCGACGGUAUCUAACCAGAAAGCCACGGCUAACUACGUGCCAGCAGCCGCGGUAAUACGUAGGUGGCAAGCGUUAUCCGGAUUUAUUGGGCGUAAAGGGAACGCAGGCGGUCUUUUAAGUCUGAUGUGAAAGCCUUCGGCUUAACCGGAGUAGUGCAUUGGAAACUGGGAGACUUGAGUGCAGAAGAGGAGAGUGGAACUCCAUGUGUAGCGGUGAAAUGCGUAGAUAUAUGGAAGAACACCAGUGGCGAAAGGGCUCUCUGGUCUGUAACUGACGCUGAGGUCGAAACGUGGGUAGCAACAGGAUAGAUACCUGGUAGCACGCGUAAGAUGA
RNAcentral lists this ribosomal RNA (767 nucleotides) under Ligilactobacillus murinus. RNAcentral describes it as "bacterial SSU rRNA". It matches the Rfam family "Bacterial small subunit ribosomal RNA", at positions 65 to 812 of the family's 1533-position model. The record is from RNAcentral. Lineage: Bacteria; Bacillati; Bacillota; Bacilli; Lactobacillales; Lactobacillaceae.